Molecule: non-coding RNA, 177 nt
Organism: Arachis ipaensis
Lineage: Eukaryota; Viridiplantae; Streptophyta; Magnoliopsida; Fabales; Fabaceae
Source: RefSeq, a predicted model, not a curated record
CUUUCAGCCUUGUGGAUCAGCCCAUCAAAUUAAACAACUCUCAGAUUUUGAUGAAGCUAAUAAAGAAUUCUCCUCCGUCUUCCACAAAAUUAAAGAACUAAGUACCCUCAGAAAAAUAAACUGUACCUAUGAUAUGAGGGAAAUUGGAUUGUGCACGUGCUUCAUGGAUCAUGUAUU